AUGGCCGUUCUUGUGGCGAGGCAGGGGCGCGAGCUGCAGCGGUACAGCGCGAGCACCGGCGGGCGCAUCGUGGUGGGGUGCAUCCCGUACCGGAUGCGCGACGGCGGCGACAGCGACGGCGAGGGCGAGCUGGAGGUGCUGGUCAUCAGCUCGCAGAAGGGGCACGGCAUGAUGUUUCCCAAGGGCGGGUGGGAGCUGGACGAGUCCAUGGACGACGCGGCACGGCGCGAGGCCCUCGAGGAGGCCGGCGUCCGCGGGGAGAUGGGCAAGGUGCUCGGCUGCUGGCACUACCAGAGCCGCCGCUACCAGACCACCUACGAGGGCAUCAUGUACCCGCUCCGCGUCACCGACGAGCUCCAGCAGUGGCCCGAGAUGGCGUCCCGCAAGCGCACCUGGGCAACUGUGCAGCAGGUCAUGGAGGGAUGCCAGCACUGCUGGAUGCGGGAGGCGCUCGAGGAGCUCGUCGCCCGGCACGCCAAGCCGCAGUCCGCCCUGUGA
This 498-nucleotide ribosomal RNA is filed under the name Triticum aestivum (bread wheat). RNAcentral describes it as "partial small subunit ribosomal RNA". Lineage: Eukaryota; Viridiplantae; Streptophyta; Magnoliopsida; Poales; Poaceae. The record is from RNAcentral.